RNAcentral lists this ribosomal RNA (605 nucleotides) under uncultured bacterium. Its description in RNAcentral is "bacterial SSU rRNA". It matches the Rfam family "Bacterial small subunit ribosomal RNA", at positions 83 to 683 of the family's 1533-position model. The record is from RNAcentral.
UCCUGGUGGCGAGUGGCGAACGGGUGAGUAAUACAUCGGAACGUGCCCAAUCGUGGGGGAUAACGUAGCGAAAGCUACGCUAAUACCGCAUACGAUCUACGGAUGAAAGCGGGGGACUCGCAAGGGCCUCGCGCGAAUGGAGCGGCCGAUGGCAGAUUAGGUAGUUGGUGGGGUAAAGGCUCACCAAGCCUUCGAUCUGUAGCUGGUCUGAGAGGACGACCAGCCACACUGGGACUGAGACACGGCCCAGACUCCUACGGGAGGCAGCAGUGGGGAAUUUUGGACAAUGGGCGCAAGCCUGAUCCAGCCAUUCCGCGUGCAGGAUGAAGGCCUUCGGGUUGUAAACUGCUUUUGGACGGAACGAAAAGCCUUUCUCUAAUACGGGAAGGUCAUGACGGUACCGUCAGAAUAAGCACCGGCUAACUACGUGCCAGCAGCCGCGGUAAUACGUAGGGUGCAAGCGUUAAUCGGAAUUACUGGGCGUAAAGCGUGCGCAGGCGGUGAUGUAAGACAGAUGUGAAAUCCCCGGGCUCAACCUGGGAACUGCAUUUGUGACUGCAUCGCUGGAGUACGGCAGAGGGGAUGGAAUUCCGCGUGUAGCAGUG